This 466-nucleotide ribosomal RNA is filed under the name uncultured bacterium. RNAcentral's name for it is "partial 16S ribosomal RNA". It matches the Rfam family "Bacterial small subunit ribosomal RNA", at positions 339 to 795 of the family's 1533-position model. The record is from RNAcentral.
CUACGGGGUGCUCCAGUGAGGAAUUUUGCGCAAUGGGGGCAACCCUGACGCAGCAACGCCGCGUGAUCGAUUGAAGCUCCUAGGAGUGUAAAGAUCUGUCGUGAAGGAAGAAAAAGUCCGAGAAUAAUAAGUUCGGUAAUUGACGGUACUUCACAAGAAAGCUCCGGCUAACUUCGUGCCAGCAGCCGCGGUAAUACGAGGGGAGCAAGCGCUGUCCGAAAUAACUGGGCGUAAAGGGUACGUAGGCUUUUGUGUGUGUUUUCGGUGAAAGUCAUAGGCUCAACUUAUGAAUUGCCGGAAAAACUGCAUAGAUUGAAUCCGGAAGGGGAAAGCGGAAUUCCUGGUGUAGCGGUGAAAUGCGUAGAUAUCAGGAGGAACACCAGUGGCGAAGGCGGCUUUCUGGUCCGGAAUUGACGCUGAGGUACUAAAGCGUGGGUAGCAAACAGGAUUAGAUACCCCGGUAGUC